CCUACGGGAGGCAGCAGUGGGGAAUAUUGCACAAUGGGGGAAACACUGAUGCAGCGACGCCGCGUGAGUGAAGAAGUAUUUCGGUAUGUAAAGCUCUAACAGCAGGGAAGAAAAUGACGGUACCUGAUUAAGAAGCCCCGGCUAACUACGUGCCAGCAGCCGCGGUAAUACGUAGGGGGCAAGCGUUAUCCGGAUUUACUGGGUGUAAAGGGAGCGUAGACGGCAGCACAAUUCUGGAGUGAAAUGCCGGGGCUUAACCCCGGAACUGCUUUGGAAACUGUGCAGCUAGAGUGUAGGAGAGGUAAGUGGAAUUCCUAGUGUAGCGGUGAAAUGCGUAGAUAUUAGGAGGAACACCAGUGGCGAAGGCGGCUUACUGGACUGUAACUGACGUUGAGGCUCGAAAGCGUGGGGAGCAAACAGGAUUAGAUACCCUAGUAGUC
This 440-nucleotide ribosomal RNA is filed under the name uncultured bacterium. RNAcentral's name for it is "partial 16S ribosomal RNA". It matches the Rfam family "Bacterial small subunit ribosomal RNA", at positions 338 to 795 of the family's 1533-position model. The record is from RNAcentral.